CCUACGGGGGACAGCAGUGGGGAAUAUUGCGCAAUGGGCGAAAGCCUGACGCAGCGACGCCGCGUGAGGGAUGAAGGUCUUCGGAUCGUAAACCUCUGUCAGCAGGGAAGAACGGUCACUGUGCUAAUCAGCAGUGAAUUGACGGUACCUGAAUAAGAAGCCCCGGCUAACUACGUGCCAGCAGCCGCGGUAAUACGUAGGGGGCAAGCGUUAUCCGGAAUUACUGGGUGUAAAGGGUGAGUAGGCGGCAUGGUAAGCCAGAUGUGAAAGCCUUGGGCUUAACCCGAGGAUUGCAUUUGGAACUAUCAAGCUAGAGUACAGGAGAGGAAAGCGGAAUUCCUAGUGUAGCGGUGAAAUGCGUAGAUAUUAGGAAGAACACCAGUGGCGAAGGCGGCUUUCUGGACUGAAACUGACGCUGAGGCACGAAAGCGUGGGGAGCGAACAGGAUUAGAUACCCCAGUAGUC
RNAcentral lists this ribosomal RNA (465 nucleotides) under uncultured bacterium. Its description in RNAcentral is "partial 16S ribosomal RNA". It matches the Rfam family "Bacterial small subunit ribosomal RNA", at positions 338 to 795 of the family's 1533-position model. The record is from RNAcentral.